GAUGAACGCUGGCGGCGUGCCUAAUACAUGCAAGUCGAGCGAACGGACGAGAAGCUUGCUUCUCUGAUGUUAGCGGCGGACGGGUGAGUAACACGUGGAUAACCUACCUAUAAGACUGGGAUAACUUCGGGAAACCGGAGCUAAUACCGGAUAAUAUUUUGAACCGCAUGGUUCAAAAGUGAAAGACGGUCUUGCUUUCUCUUAUAGAUGGAUCCGCGCUGCAUUAGCUAGUUGGUAAGGUAACGGCUUACCAAGGCAACGAUGCAUAGCCGACCUGAGAGGGUGACCGGCCACACUGGAACUGAGACACGGUCCAGACUCCUACGGGAGGCAGCAGUAGGGAAUCUUCCGCAAUGGGCGAAAGCCUGACGGAGCAACGCCGCGUGAGUGAUGAAGGUAUUCGGAUCGUAAAACUCUGUUAUGAGGGAAGAACAUAUGUGUAAGUAACUGUGCACAUCUUGACGGUACCUAAUCAGAAAGCCACGGCUAACUACGUG
This 497-nucleotide ribosomal RNA is filed under the name uncultured bacterium. RNAcentral's name for it is "partial 16S ribosomal RNA". It matches the Rfam family "Bacterial small subunit ribosomal RNA", at positions 28 to 507 of the family's 1533-position model. The record is from RNAcentral.